Molecule: long non-coding RNA, 398 nt
Filed under: Zea mays
Lineage: Eukaryota; Viridiplantae; Streptophyta; Magnoliopsida; Poales; Poaceae
Description: long non-coding RNA (ZMAY_LNC002322)
Source: RNAcentral
CAGAGUAUUCACAUGCACACAAACAUCACGAGAUAAAGGUGGCCAACAACAAAGAGAGAGGAUCCACAAAUAAGCAACUAGCUGGAUUCAAUAAGCAUUGUUACUGUUCCAUCAGAUAACAGUUGCUACCGGAGGAGACCAGACACAGCAGCACCUAACUACAGCAAGACACGCGAACAUACGAGGGAAGCCUGCAAGCGGAGGCCACGCAGCCUAGGACGAGGUGAACUUGGUGACGGCCUUGGUGCCCUCGGAGACGGCGUGCUUGGCGAGCUCCCCGGGGAGGACGAGGCGCACGGAGGUCUGGAUCUCACGGGAGGUGAUGGUGGGCUUCUUGUUGUACCGCGCGAGCUUGGCGGCCUCGGCGGCGAGCUUCUCGAAGAUGUCGUUGAUGAAGG